GAACGCAAAUUGCGCUCUCGGGAUAGGCCUGAGAGCACGCCUCUUUGAGCAUCGAUUCUACCACAAGUCGACGACGUCCUUGCAAAAAGGGCGUGCAGUCGGACAUUGAGCUUUGCCAGCCGUUCGCGGCUCAGCUAGCUUUAAAUAGAGCGUGAUGCACAGCGAUCCUACUGUUCUUUGCAGGAGUAUCGGUGACGUGGAUAACUUCACAUUUUGUGAACCUUCCAAUACGUGACCGAAGCUCGUAAACUGCUUGAGCAGCAAGCCGCAAUUGUGCGUCCGAUCGUCACGCAAGUGACAACUCUUUUGAAUUAGAUCUCAAAUGAAGCGAGAAAACCCGCUGAACUUAAG
RNAcentral lists this unclassified non-coding RNA (351 nucleotides) under uncultured fungus. Its description in RNAcentral is "sequence contains 5.8S rRNA gene". The record is from RNAcentral. Lineage: Eukaryota; Fungi.